UUAACGCUGAGGUGUGAUGACGAGGCACUACGGUGCUGAAGUGAUAAAUGCCCUGCUUCCAGGAAAAGCCUCUAAGCAUCAGGUAACACGAAAUCGUACCCCAAACCGACACAGGUGGUCAGGUAGAGAAUACCAAGGCGCUUGAGAGAACUCGGGUGAAGGAACUAGGCAAAAUGGUGCCGUAACUUCGGGAGAAGGCACGCUGAUA
RNAcentral lists this ribosomal RNA (208 nucleotides) under Enterobacter hormaechei. Its description in RNAcentral is "partial 23S ribosomal RNA". It matches the Rfam family "Bacterial large subunit ribosomal RNA", at positions 1550 to 1756 of the family's 2925-position model. Lineage: Bacteria; Pseudomonadati; Pseudomonadota; Gammaproteobacteria; Enterobacterales; Enterobacteriaceae. The record is from RNAcentral. RNAcentral also lists the same sequence under 2 other names.